RNAcentral lists this long non-coding RNA (1904 nucleotides) under Ananas comosus (pineapple). Its description in RNAcentral is "long non-coding RNA (ACOM_LNC032231)". The record is from RNAcentral. Lineage: Eukaryota; Viridiplantae; Streptophyta; Magnoliopsida; Poales; Bromeliaceae.
AAAAAGUUCGGGUGGAACUUUAUAAAAAUUUAUCUUUUUGUUUUUCAAAUUAAGGAUUUAAGUACCGUGGCACGGGGUCGUGCCGGAAACUUGUCGGCACGGUACGGCACGGUGUGUGCCGAGCCGUGCCGAUGCGUACCAGUCAAAAAAAUUCAUGUGUGCCGACACAUAAUAGUAUGAAAUAUUUAUUUUCUUUAGCAACAAAAUAUUAUAACUAUUUAUUAUAUCUUUUUAUCACAUCUUUUGAGCUUUAUUAAGAAAAUUACUUACUAAUUUAAAGAAUAGAGAGUUUUGAGCUGUGCUAUCGGCACGAGGUCUGUAUCGUGCCGGAAUCUUAUUGGCACGGUACGGCACGAUAGAUACGGCCCGUACCGACGGGCACUUAAAACCUUGUUUCAAAUAUAAUUAUAGAAAUUCUAUCUUAAUAAAGCUAGCGUGGUUUGUAUAAAUAUGCAAUCAUUUAUCGAAUUGAAUGUAAUAUUUUUUUCGUCAUGCUUUAAAAUAAGAGUUAGAUUACUAUACUUUCGAAAGCACUGAAACCUCCAUAAUUUUAAGUUAUUUUUGAUGAUAAAAUAUCCGAUACAACGAUAGACUCUAUUAGAUACGACUAUUAUAUUAGAACUAUUUGGAAAUCAAAUUGCAUAAUUUUUUUGUUUUCAUUUUUCUAGUAAACGAAUAAUCUCAAAAUGAAAGUAAUAUCAAAAUGAACGACUGGAAAUAAAAUUUUCAUAAAAAAUAGUGAUAGAAGACUUAAAUUUCAAGUCAAACAUAUUGAUCUUACUCUCGAUAAUAAGUAGAAUUUUUAUUGAAAUAUUACUUAAUCUGAAUUGUUCUAUACCGUAGGACUUACAAAAAUAUCAUAUCGGCAAUUAAAAUAGUCAUUUUUGAGAUAUUUUGGUUACUUGGCAAAUAAUAUCCUAAAAUUAUAAAAUUUUAUUUUUAUAUGGGCUUUUUUUGCAAAUGACACCAUGGAAAAAUUUUAUUUUAAAACUAACCCCAACAAAUUUAUAAUUGCAAAAAUGGCUUUACUCCUCCCAUGCUGGAGCUACGCAAGCACCACGUGGGCGGGCUUGUUCAAACAAGGUGAAUGGUUCAACGUGUUUCAUAUUUAUAUUUCUCUUCUUCUCUUUUUCAAUAUUUAUAUUUUUCGCAAUACAUAUAUUUUUUCUAGACACGGUGAAUCAUUCACCGUAUUCAAACACGGUAAAUAAUUCACGGUAUUCUGUACUUAUAUUCUCCCUAUUACGAAUGUCAACGGGUCCGGUUUGGAUCAAGUUUUCAAAAACCUGAACCCAAAUCCGAAAAUCAAAUUAAAACUUGAAUCCGAAUCCGAAGCCGGCGGGUUUUAAAAAUCCAUACACAUAUCCAUACCCAACCAAAAACCCGAAACCCAAAACCCGAACCCGAACUCGGCGGGUUUUAUAUAAAUUAUUAAAUAUUUUAUAUAUUGUAUAAAUAAAUAAAAAUAAAUUAUGUAUAUAAAUAAUUUAUUCAGGUUUGGAUUCGGAUAAUAUUUCGGGUAUCCAUACCCAUUGACAUCCCUACUCCCUAUUCGGAUUUUAAUUUGAUUUUCGGAUUCGGGUUCGGGUUUUUACCCGAUCCGUUGACAUUCCUAAUAGAGAAGAAGAGUAAUAUAAAUAUGAAACACGGUGAACUAUUCACCGUGUUCAACUUGCCAAGCAGGCUCCCAGCCAGCCCACGUGGCGCUUGCAUGGCGUCUAUAUGGCAGGAAUACGGCCGUUUUUGCAAUUAUAAAUUUGUUGGGGCUAGUUUAAAAUUUUUUUUUUUUUUUAGGGGAACAUUUGCAAAAAAAACUUUUUUUUAUAUAGUUCUAAUAACAUAAUCAGUAUUAAUGAAACUGAUCGUCGAGUCAAAUAUUUCGUCAUCGCAAAUAACUUAAAAAU